UACGUAGGGGGCAAGCGUUGUCCGGAAUCAUUGGGCGUAAAGAGCGUGUAGGCGGCCCGAUAAGUCCGCCGUGAAAGUCCAGGGCUCAACCCUGGAAUGCCGGUGGAAACUGUCGGGCUGGAGUCCGGAAGAGGCGAGUGGAAUUCCUGGUGUAGCGGUGAAAUGCGCAGAUAUCAGGAGGAACACCAAUGGCGAAGGCGGGUCUCUGGGCCGAUACUGACGCUGAGGAGCGAAAGCGUGGGGAGCGAACAGG
Molecule: ribosomal RNA, 253 nt
Filed under: uncultured bacterium
Lineage: Bacteria
Description: partial 16S ribosomal RNA
Rfam family: Bacterial small subunit ribosomal RNA
Source: RNAcentral